UUAAUUGAAGAGUUUGAUCAUGGCUCAGAUUGAACGCUGGCGGCAGGCCUAACACAUGCAAGUCGAGCGGCAGCACAGAGGAACUUGUUCCUUGGGUGGCGAGCGGCGGACGGGUGAGUAAUGCCUGGGAAAUUGCCCGGUAGAGGGGGGAUAACCAUUGGAAACGAUGGCUAAUACCGCAUAACCUCGCAAGAGCAAAGCAGGGGACCUUCGGGCCUUGCGCUACCGGAUAUGCCCAGGUGGGAUUAGCUAGUUGGUGAGGUAAGGGCUCACCA
RNAcentral lists this ribosomal RNA (275 nucleotides) under Vibrio cholerae. RNAcentral describes it as "partial 16S ribosomal RNA". It matches the Rfam family "Bacterial small subunit ribosomal RNA", at positions 1 to 270 of the family's 1533-position model. The record is from RNAcentral. Lineage: Bacteria; Pseudomonadati; Pseudomonadota; Gammaproteobacteria; Vibrionales; Vibrionaceae.